RNAcentral lists this unclassified non-coding RNA (235 nucleotides) under Glomeraceae sp. RNAcentral describes it as "partial contains 5.8S ribosomal RNA and internal transcribed spacer 2". The stretch from base 1 to 71 matches the Rfam family "5.8S ribosomal RNA", at positions 84 to 154 of the family's 154-position model. The record is from RNAcentral. Lineage: Eukaryota; Fungi; Glomeromycota; Glomeromycetes; Glomerales; Glomeraceae.
GUGAAUCAUCGAAUCUUUGAACGCAUAUUGCACUCUUUGGUAUUCCGGAGAGUAUGCCUGUUUGAGGGUCAGGUAAAUAUAAAUCGGGGGUUUUGCCAUUUGUGGCAGGCACGAGUUGGAAUUGGGUCGUCUGUAGCUUUCGGUUAAGUGACUUAAAAUUUUUUAAUGAUGUCUGGACGUAUUUAAAUGUAUUUGGUACGCCUACUAAUAUCGAAUGUUUAUUAGUUUUGGGCUU